RNAcentral lists this ribosomal RNA (253 nucleotides) under uncultured bacterium. Its description in RNAcentral is "partial 16S ribosomal RNA". It matches the Rfam family "Bacterial small subunit ribosomal RNA", at positions 524 to 776 of the family's 1533-position model. The record is from RNAcentral.
UACGUAGGGUGCGAGCGUUAAUCGGAAUUACUGGGCGUAAAGCGUGCGUAGGCGGUUCGUUAAGUUCGUUGUGAAAUCCCCGGGCUCAACCUGGGAACUGCAUUUGUGACUGCAUCGCUGGAGUGCGGCAGAGGGGGAUGGAAUUCCGCGUGUAGCAGUGAAAUGCGUAGAUAUGCGGAGGAACACCGAUGGCGAAGGCAAUCCCCUGGGCCUGCACUGACGCUCAUGCACGAAAGCGUGGGGAGCAAACAGG